GACAGAGGGUGCAAACGUUGUUCGGAUUUACUGGGCGUAAAGCGCGUGUAGGCGGCCUUGCAAGUCGGACGUGAAAUCCCCAGGCUCAACCUGGGAACUGCGUCUGAUACUGGAUGGCUUGAAUUCGGGAGAGGGAUGCAGAAUUCCAGGUGUAGCGGUGAAAUGCGUAGAUAUCUGGAGGAAUACCGGUGGCGAAGGCGGCAUCCUGGACCGACAUUGACGCUGAGGAGCGAAAGCUAGGGGAGCAAACGGG
Molecule: ribosomal RNA, 253 nt
Filed under: uncultured bacterium
Lineage: Bacteria
Description: partial 16S ribosomal RNA
Rfam family: Bacterial small subunit ribosomal RNA
Source: RNAcentral